CGAUCGGUCCGAGAGCUUUUACAUCCUCGACUUCGUCCUGCACCGGCGGCCACUCUAUCCGUCUGACGGCGUUUAACGGAGCUGCUGCGAUGCUCUGGGUCGCCGAUGCGAUUCGCGUCUUUCUAUUGUGACGCGGCGAUAAAUCAUCAUCACCGUCAUCUUCAUCCCGAAAUGUACACCUCUGCGGCGGACGCCGACAUCGUCAUCGUCAUCGACACCAGACCUUCUUCCGUUCGCUUCCUGGGCUGAGCUGAUAGUGCGCCUGUGCAGCGGCUUGCGCGAUUCCAGGAUAGCCGCGAUUCUUUCCCCGUCACACCGGGGAGACCCUGACUUUGAAUAAACGCGCGCCGAACUCUCGAACUACGUUACACGGUUAUUGCGCUAUCGCCGAGUGACUAACGUCCAGGAGUAGUUACGCGGGUGAAGAUUAAAAAAAAAAAAAAACAAAAAAAAAGCAUCGACUCCGUAAAGUGCAUCGAGUUUCUCGCCCGGCGUCGAAUCCUCGCCGACUGGUUUUAUAUCCGAAUCAUUCGACUAUUGCGGAUGAUUUACCGCAAAGUCAAGAACCCCGAGAGGGCGUGAAUCGGACCUUUACUCGCGCAGUAAUAAAGGCAGUGCCCUAGUUCUACUUGCGGAGCGCGUGUUUUCCCGCAGGCAUCAUUACUCAGUGCGCGAAGAACGAGCGAGCUGGCGAGCCAGAUGUCUAAGCUGUGUAUAGUUAUCUCAUAGAUCGCGCACCGCUCUACGGGAAGAUAAUAACAACACGUCGGAUAGGCGUAAGAUAAGAAGAUAAGUAGAUGAAUAGAUGGUCGGCGAGGUGAAGGGGGAGUCGAGAGUUGCCGGGAUGUCGUCGCGUUGCGCGGAUGUCAUGGUGCAGAGGCGCGUCGGCGCGUGAGUGUGUGACGUCGUCGUUCCGACGUCGAGACGCUGAUCCGUCGGUCCGUCGGUCCGUCGGGUUGAUAGGACGGAUAGGACGGGAACGGCUCGAGUCCGGGUUGGGGUGGCGUACGUGGCGUGCGCCGUCCCUGCUUGCGGGGCUGAAAAGCAAGUGCAGUGUGCCGAAAACGCGAGGUGGUUUCGUCGUCGGUCCCUGCACCUCGUACUCAUAACGGGCGACAGAGAAGGUGAGAGAAGGCGAGAAAGAGAGAAAGAGAAGGAGAGAGCUCGAAAAAGCUCGCCGGUCGUUGCGGUGCCGAGCGGCGAGGAAUCGGAGCGGAGAGCGACGCAGAUCGGCCGGAUCACCGGAGGAAGAGAGUUGGGGAGAAGAAACGCAGGAGAAAACCGUCACGCCAGCGAAACGAUUGUUCUCCUUCGUCUCCGGAGGAGCAACGAAGAAUCCGCUGAUUAUCCAUUUUUUUUUUUUUUUUUUUUUUUUCCUCCGCACGCAUCUUCUCUCAUCCCUUGUCGCGACCCCCCUCGGCGUUACUAAUUUCAAUAUUUGCAACGCACGCACACCUACGCACACCCGCAAACGCACACGCACGCGUACGCAGCAGUGCGUUGAUAUGGUCAGCUGUGUGCGGACCGCGGUGUUGAAGAUACGCCGCUGUGAAAUAUCAGGAAAUGCGCCCUAGGCACAACGCGACGUUUAUCGACAGGGACACCCUACGGCAUCGAAAUGUUCGCGUACGGUUUCGAGAUCACAUAGGCAUGUAAUACAUUAUAAUCAAAUGUGCGGCGUGUGCCUUGUGUAAUUUCACGGUGAAAAUCUGGCGUAAACGGUGCCGCGGUGGGUCAGGGAUCAUGGCGUCGGUCUCGGCCGAGACACCAGCCAGCCAUGGGCACAGCUUCAGCAAGAAAACGUUUCACAAACCCACCUACUGUCAUCACUGCACGGACAUGCUCUGGGGCCUCUUACAGCAGGGGUACACCUGCGAAGUCUGCAACUUCGUGGUGCACGACCGCUGUCUCAAGACCGUCGUCUCUCCCUGCUCCAGCAUCGCGGCAAGCCUGAUCAAGAACCCGGUUGCACAUUGUUGGUCGGAACAAGUGCACCACAAAAGAAAAUUCUGCAAUGUAUGUCGUAAACGCCUCGAGGAUAGCCCAUCGAUUCACUGUGAGAUAUGCGAGUACUAUGUGCACACGGAUUGCCAGGAUUUUGCGGUUGCCGAUUGCAAGGAGAACGCGACUUACCUGCCAGGGAAGGAUUUAGCUUCGGUGCGUCACACCCAUCAUUGGCGGGAAGGGAAUCUUCCCAGCAAUUCGAAAUGCGUGGUAUGCAAGAAGACUUGCUGGUCGGCGGAAUGUCUUUCUGGAUAUCGGUGCGAGUGGUGUGGCAUGACGUCGCAUGCCUACUGCCACAAGAACAUACCGCCGGAGUGCACGUUUGGAAAUUUGGAGCCAAUAUACCUGCCUCCGCAUGCAAUCAGUAUACCUCGCACCGAGGUCCCUAUGGAGGCGAUCAUUGGGGUCCAGGUGCGUCGCAAGGAAGUUCUCGCGCGUGAGUAUUCUUGCCAUUACACUGGAGAGCAAUUCGAUUUCGCUGAGAGUGAACAAAUUGGGGGCGAAGGCCACCUUGCCGCAGCUUUGAGGCGCCUUUCACUAGUUUUGCAUCGUAGCUGCCAUGGAAAUUGUCAUGCUUCCCCUCCUUAUGUUCGAGCACGUAAUAUUUCAGAGGAAUUCAGCAGCGGAGACGCUCGGAAUCGAGACAAUGAUGAACCGGCGCAGCAAAGCGGUGCUCACAGCCGGGAUUCCAGGCCCCAGAAAGAAAAGGACGACAGAGACGAAGAGAUGAUCAAAGUUUACGAUGGCAAUAUUUCUGCGAGGCGUCGGAUAUUUCGAGUUAUCAACGUGCCUCGUCAAGCCAGUAUCGACCAGGUCCUCACCAUAGCUCUAAGAGCAUUCCACAUAACGAAAGAUCUGAAAAACUUUUACCUAACUGACUUGUACGCCGCCGACGAAGCUCGUUUGUGUGAUCCAACACCCAUUAAUAACUUACAGCGGAAGGAAGGCAAGCGUCCGGCUGUCUUUCUGCGUUUUAAGGACAACGAGUGUGGCGAGGUACGAGUCUACCCAGGUAAACUUCAGGUGUCUGAGGCAUUCUGCAACGUCCCUGUUGACGAAGGAAGUACCGUCACCGAUCUUAUUCGGGAAGCUCUUCUUCGGUUUGGACUUGAAAAUUUCAAAUGCGAGGAAUAUCGCUGCAGCGAGAUUUUACUGGAUCGUGGUGUAGUUACGGAACGGGUGCUGUCCUGGAACGAAAAACCUUGGGACAUCGUAAAGCUACUUGGAAAGGACUCGAUCCGUCAAAUGGAAUUGAUGAGGUUUUACCUUCAGUUGAAACAAGAUCCUCACGGGCCGAAUCUGGCGUUAUUUGUCGGCAAUCUUCCACCCAAUCUUUCAGAACGUAAUUAUGAGAAUAUGUUGACGGAGUUCUUGGGUAAAGAAAAUAAAUUUUCAUCCAUUGGCCCAAUUUAUUACGAGUAUGGAUCAAUGGUGAUUAUAUACGAGGAUUCAAACAAGGCCGUAAAGGCAUUGUACACAUUGCGCGAGUCAAAAUACGAAGACAAACACCUUUUAGUAAUGCUUCUGCCCAGCAUCGAGCCGAGUAUGGUACCGCCUGGUGUUCAGCCUCUACUUGUAUUUGUAAAUGUCAAGUCUGGUGGAUGUCAGGGUCUGGAAUUAAUUUCCAGUUUUCGAAAGCUUUUGAAUCCAUACCAAGUGUUCGAUCUGGAUAACGGAGGCCCCCUUCCCGGACUGUACGUUUUUCGGCAUAUAAGAAAUUACAAGAUUCUUGUGUGCGGAGGCGACGGAACAAUAGGCUGGGUAUUGCAAUGCCUUGAUAACGUUGGCCAAGAUAGCGAGUGUUCUUCGCCGGCAUGCGCAAUUGUUCCUUUGGGAACUGGCAACGAUUUGGCAAGAGUUUUGCGCUGGGGUUCCGGGUACACGGGUGGAGAAGAUCCGCUGAGUUUAUUGCGGGACAUCAUCGAUGCCGAGGAAAUAAAGUUGGAUCGAUGGACGGUGGUUUUCCACCCGGAAGAUAAGGAGGAUAAAUCUCAGCAAGUUCCCAAUGCCGCAGUUGCUGGUUCAACGAGCGAAGAUAAUACCCAAAUAUUUGUAAUGAACAAUUACUUUGGUAUCGGAAUCGACGCCGAUCUGUGUUUGGCCUUUCACAAUGCGAGGGAAGAAAAUCCAAACAAGUUCAACAGUCGAUUCCACAACAAGGGAGUAUACGUUAGAAUGGGAUUGCGCAAGAUGGUCGGUCAGAAACUCUGUAAAGACUUGCACAAGCAAAUACGAUUAGAAGUCGACGGAAAACUAGUAGAAUUACCGCAGGUCGAAGGCAUCAUUAUACUGAAUAUUUUGAGUUGGGGCUCUGGCGCUAAUCCGUGGGGUCCGGAGAAAGAGGAUCAGUUCAACAAACCGAAUCACUGGGACGGGGUGUUGGAAGUAGUUGGAGUUACAGGUGUGGUACACCUGGGACAAAUACAGUCUGGUCUUCGCUCCGCUAUGAGAAUAGCUCAAGGUGGACAUAUAAAAAUUCAUCUACACUCAGACUUGCCAGUUCAGGUAGACGGAGAACCCUGGGUUCAGAGUCCAGGCGAUGUUGUAGUCCUGAAGUCUGCGUUGAAGGCAACCAUGUUGAAGAAAAAUAAGAUCAAGCGUCGGAAUACCGAACCGUCGAUUCUACCUGCUAAUGGGGAGGGGGGCAAGAGCACGGACGAGUAAAUCAACCAUUCUGCAGCUUGCAACUAGUCAGUUGUUUGAUCAUUCGUUGUAAGGCCACGAUGCUGAAGAAGGUGAAGAGUAAAAUGAAGAGGCGAAAUACAGAGCCCAGCAUGCAGUUAGCGCUUCAAGCUGGACCCUCGAACGAUCCGGAUAUCGAG
This 4826-nucleotide unclassified non-coding RNA is filed under the name Neodiprion lecontei (redheaded pine sawfly). RNAcentral's name for it is "diacylglycerol kinase theta, transcript variant X4". The record is from RNAcentral. Lineage: Eukaryota; Metazoa; Arthropoda; Insecta; Hymenoptera; Diprionidae.